ACAGUCACUGACAUUAGAUACCCCGGUAGUCCCAGCCGUAAACUAUGCUCGCUAGGUGUCAGGCAUGGCGCGACCGUGUCUGGUGCCGCAGGGAAGCCGUGAAGCGAGCCACCUGGGAAGUACGGCCGCAAGGCUGAAACUUAAAGGAAUUGGCGGGGGAGCACAACAACGGGUGGAGUCUGCGGUUUAAUUGGACUCAACGCCGGACAACUCACCGGGGACGACAGCAAUAUGUAGGCCAGGCUGAAGACCUUGCCUGAAUCGCUG
RNAcentral lists this ribosomal RNA (267 nucleotides) under uncultured archaeon. RNAcentral's name for it is "partial 16S ribosomal RNA". It matches the Rfam family "Archaeal small subunit ribosomal RNA", at positions 716 to 982 of the family's 1478-position model. The record is from RNAcentral.